Molecule: transfer RNA, 73 nt
Filed under: Macrostomum lignano
Lineage: Eukaryota; Metazoa; Platyhelminthes; Macrostomidae
Rfam family: tRNA
About the family: Transfer RNA (tRNA) molecules are approximately 80 nucleotides in length. Their secondary structure includes four short double-helical elements and three loops (D, anti-codon, and T loops).
Source: Rfam by way of RNAcentral
GCCCCAGUGGCGCAAUGGAUAGCGCGUCGAACUUCUAAUCCGGAGGUUGAGGGUUCGAGUCCCUCCUGGGGUG